This 428-nucleotide ribosomal RNA is filed under the name uncultured bacterium. RNAcentral's name for it is "partial 16S ribosomal RNA". It matches the Rfam family "Bacterial small subunit ribosomal RNA", at positions 354 to 796 of the family's 1533-position model. The record is from RNAcentral.
GUCGGGAGUCUUGCACAAUGGGGGAAACCCUGAUGCAGCGACGUCGCGUGUGGGAUGAAGUAUUUCGGUAUGUAAACCACUUUUGCGGGGGGCGAAAAAAAUGACGGUACCCCGCGAAUAAGCCCCGGCUAACUACGUGCCAGCAGCCGCGGUAAUACGUAGGGGGCGAGCGUUGCUCGGAUUGACUGGGCGUAAAGCGCGCGUAGGCGGUCCAUUAAGUGUGCGGUGCAAUUCGGAGGCUCAACCUCCGUCCCGCCGCGCAAACUGAUGGUCUUGAGAUUGGGAGGGGGAUGCGGAAUUCCUGGUGUAGCGGUGAAAUGCAUUGAUAUCAGGAGGAACACCGGCGGCGAAAGCGGCAUCCUGGCUUAUAUCUGACGCUGAGGCGCGAAAGCGUGGGUAGCAAACGGGAUUAGAAACCCUGGUAGUCC